CCGUCUUCUUGUGUCACAAACAACCCCAAAGCUGAGAUAGACUAAUAAUAAAGAGACAUUUAAACUGAGGAGACAUGCUGUGACUUAUAAUCUCUGGGCUGCGCAGCGCAGUGAACUGGAUGGUUUCUUGCUGUGGCACCUCUGAGAAGGACAGGAUGUCUUCAGGAAACCAAUGACAGAGAGUUUGGACGGUGUCCAGUGAUGGAAAACCAUGCAGUCAGAGCCGUGCAUAAUGGUUCCUGCAAGUUAACACCUUCUUUACCUAAACUCUGCUGCACUUGUUACAAUGACGACCUGUCUGAAAGCUUCUUCUUGGGAAGAUGGACAGAGUCUGACAGCUGACAAGUGCCUCACCAGCUCUACUGUAAGCACCAUUCACUUAUAUGCUAACAAUAAAUUCAACAUUUAAACCUCUUAUAAA
This is a long non-coding RNA of Austrofundulus limnaeus, 421 nucleotides long. RefSeq lists it as uncharacterized. Lineage: Eukaryota; Metazoa; Chordata; Actinopteri; Cyprinodontiformes; Rivulidae. The record is from RefSeq and is a predicted model, not a curated record. The transcript is spliced from 3 exons.